This 253-nucleotide ribosomal RNA is filed under the name uncultured bacterium. RNAcentral describes it as "partial 16S ribosomal RNA". It matches the Rfam family "Bacterial small subunit ribosomal RNA", at positions 524 to 776 of the family's 1533-position model. The record is from RNAcentral.
UACGAAGGGGGCUAGCGUUGCUCGGAAUUACUGGGCGUAAAGGGCGCGUAGGCGGACAGUUUAGUCAGAGGUGAAAGCCCAGGGCUCAACCUUGGAAUUGUCUUUGAUACUGGCUGUCUUGAGUUCGGGAGAGGUGAGUGGAAUGCCGAGUGUAGAGGUGAAAUUCGUAGAUAUUCGGCGGAACACCAGUGGCGAAGGCGACUCACUGGCCCGAUACUGACGCUGAGGCGCGAAAGCGUGGGGAGCAAACAGG